RNAcentral lists this ribosomal RNA (437 nucleotides) under uncultured Rhodocyclaceae bacterium. Its description in RNAcentral is "bacterial SSU rRNA". It matches the Rfam family "Bacterial small subunit ribosomal RNA", at positions 355 to 794 of the family's 1533-position model. The record is from RNAcentral. Lineage: Bacteria; Pseudomonadati; Pseudomonadota; Betaproteobacteria; Rhodocyclales; Rhodocyclaceae.
UGGGGAAUUUUGGACAAUGGAGGAAACUCUGAUCCAGCAAUACCGCGUGAGUGAAGAAGGCCUUCGGGUUGUAAAGCUCUUUUGUUGAAGAAAAAUACUCGUGCAAACGAGGAUGAUGGUAUUCAAAGAAAAGCACCGGCUAACUACGUGCCAGCAGCCGCGGUAAUACGUAGGGUGCGAGCGUUAAUCGGAAUAACUGGGCGUAAAGGGUGAGUAGGCGGUUUAGUAAGAUAGUUGUGAAAUUCCCGCGCUUAACGUGGGGACUGCGGCUAUGACUGCUAAACUAGAAUAGAACAGAGGAAAGUGGAAUUCCACGUGUAGCAGUGAAAUGCGUAGAGAUGUGGAGGAACACCAAUGGCGAAGGCAGCUUUCUGGGUUACUAUUGACGCUCAGUCACGAAAGCGUGGGGAGCAAACAGGAUUAGAUACCCUGGUAGU